UUUUAUUUGCCAGUGUAGAAGGAUGCUGACUGAUGUAUCCGCCCCUUCCAGAGUUGGCCCAUAAAAGCAGCGCCUUCAUGGAUGUUAGCAGUGCCCCGAAAUAAUCGACUGGCUACAUGAUGCAGAUCUUCUCCUCCAUCCUGAUACUUUGUCUGGCCACAGCGGUGUACGGGUCCUUGAUUCCCAAUCUGAAUUUCGGCAACCUGUUCUCAUGUCCAGGCUUAUUUUGCCCGGGAUAUACCUUUCUUGCUCCUUUUCUCAGCUUUCUGUUUCCAAAUUCAAGUACCACAGCAACUACUAGCGCCAGUACAUCCACCGGGAAUGUCUCCGUUAAUUCGACUGGUUGAUCGAACACACGAUGAAGAACGUCCGGAAUGUUGUCACUCAGGAUGAUCAAUUGAGUGUCAAUGUACAGAAAUCCUCCGUUAUACAUAAUAAAUAAAUGCAUACCAUUUGCAAAAAAUAUAUUUAAAUUCUAAAUAAUCAGUGUGAGCAUGCUUGGCAUGGGUAUUAUUAUCAUGUGAGACAGCAACAUGUGAAAGCGAAAGCGAAGUCUUUCGAAUUUGCUUGCGGAAAAUGCUAAUAUUAACUGCCACAAAAUAGAGGUCUGUACUACCGGCAAAACAGUUUCAAAAACAUCAAGUUCACA
Molecule: long non-coding RNA, 649 nt
Organism: Dermacentor silvarum
Lineage: Eukaryota; Metazoa; Arthropoda; Arachnida; Ixodida; Ixodidae
Exons: 3
Source: RefSeq, a predicted model, not a curated record